This 715-nucleotide ribosomal RNA is filed under the name Salmonella enterica. Its description in RNAcentral is "partial 23S ribosomal RNA". It matches the Rfam family "Bacterial large subunit ribosomal RNA", at positions 1060 to 1693 of the family's 2925-position model. RNAcentral also lists the same sequence under 2 other names. Lineage: Bacteria; Pseudomonadati; Pseudomonadota; Gammaproteobacteria; Enterobacterales; Enterobacteriaceae. The record is from RNAcentral.
UAAGUGGGAAACGAUGUGGGAAGGCCCAGACAGCCAGGAUGUUGGCUUAGAAGCAGCCAUCAUUUAAAGAAAGCGUAAUAGCUCACUGGUCGAGUCGGCCUGCGCGGAAGAUGUAACGGGGCUAAACCAUGCACCGAAGCUGCGGCAGCGAACGUAUCACUUAAAGCGAUUCAGCGGGUUACGAUUGACGGAGCGAAGCGACGUCAAAGCGUAUACAAAGUCGAGUCGGUUUAAGGAUACGUUCGUUGGGUAGGGGAGCGUUCUGUAAGCCUGUGAAGGUGUGUCGUGAGGCAUGCUGGAGGUAUCAGAAGUGCGAAUGCUGACAUAAGUAACGAUAAAGCGGGUGAAAAGCCCGCUCGCCGGAAGACCAAGGGUUCCUGUCCAACGUUAAUCGGGGCAGGGUGAGUCGACCCCUAAGGCGAGGCCGAAAGGCGUAGUCGAUGGGAAACGGGUUAAUAUUCCCGUACUUGGUGUUACUGCGAAGGGGGGACGGAGAAGGCUAUGUUGGCCGGGCGACGGUUGUCCCGGUUUAAGCGUGUAGGUGUGUGUUCCAGGUAAAUCCGGUUCACUUUAACACUGAGGCGUGACGACGAGGCACUACGGUGCUGAAGCAACAAAUGCCCUGCUUCCAGGAAAAGCCUCUAAGCAUCAGGUAACAUCAAAUCGUACCCCAAACCGACACAGGUGGUCAGGUAGAGAAUACCAAGGCGCUUGA